Scophthalmus maximus (turbot) is the source of this 119-nucleotide ribosomal RNA. Lineage: Eukaryota; Metazoa; Chordata; Actinopteri; Pleuronectiformes; Scophthalmidae. The record is from Ensembl.
GCUUACGGCCACACCGCCUGGUUCACGCCCGAUCUCGUUUGAUCUCGGAAGCUAAGAUAGGUUGGGCCUGGUUAGUACUUGGAUGGGAGACCGCCUGGGAAUACCAGGUGCUGUGCUUU